RNAcentral lists this transfer RNA (73 nucleotides) under Austruca lactea. RNAcentral describes it as "tRNA-Val". It matches the Rfam family "tRNA". From Rfam's summary of the family: Transfer RNA (tRNA) molecules are approximately 80 nucleotides in length. Lineage: Eukaryota; Metazoa; Arthropoda; Malacostraca; Decapoda; Ocypodidae. The record is from RNAcentral.
CAAAGUAAAGCUAAACUAGAAUAGCAUUUCACUUACACUGAAAAGGAUUAUCGUGCAAACCGAUUUGCUUUGA